AUUGAACGCUGGCGGCAUGCUUUACACAUGCAAGUCGAACGGCAGCACGGGUGCUUGCACCUGGUGGCGAGUGGCGGACGGGUGUGUAAUACAUCGGAACGUGUCCAGAAGAGGGGGAUAACGCAUCGAAAGAUGUGCUAAUACCGCAUAUGCUCUGAGGAGGAAAGUAGGGGAUCGAAAGACCUUACGCUUUUGGAGCGGCCGAUGUCUGAUUAGCUAGUUGGUGGGGUAAGGGCCUACCAAGGCGACGAUCAGUAGUUGGUCUGAGAGGACGACCAGCCACACUGGGACUGAGACACGGCCCAGACUCCUACGGGAGGCAGCAGUGGGGAAUUUUGGACAAUGGGCGCAAGCCUGAUCCAGCAAUGCCGCGUGAGUGAAGAAGGCCUUCGGGUUGUAAGGACUCUUUCAGUCGAGAAGAAAAGGACUGCAGUGAAUAACUAGUAGUUUAUG
RNAcentral lists this ribosomal RNA (453 nucleotides) under uncultured bacterium. RNAcentral describes it as "bacterial SSU rRNA". It matches the Rfam family "Bacterial small subunit ribosomal RNA", at positions 30 to 471 of the family's 1533-position model. The record is from RNAcentral.